This 535-nucleotide ribosomal RNA is filed under the name uncultured bacterium. Its description in RNAcentral is "bacterial SSU rRNA". It matches the Rfam family "Bacterial small subunit ribosomal RNA", at positions 355 to 902 of the family's 1533-position model. The record is from RNAcentral.
UUAGGAAAUUUUCCCAAUGGGCGCAAGCCUGAGGGAGUAACGCCGCGUGGAGGAUGACGGCUUUCGGGUUGUAAACUCCUUUUCUGUGGGAAGAGAAGAAGACGGUACCGCAGGAAGAAGCCUCGGCUAACUACGUGCCAGCAGCCGCGGUAAUACGUAGGAGGCGAGCGUUGUCCGGAAUUACUGGGCGUAAAGAGCGCGUAGGCGGCGCACUACGACAGGUGUGAAAGCCCCCGGGCUCAACUGGGGAGGGUCAUCUGUAACGGGUGUGCUGUGAGUGCAGGAGAGGGAUGUGGAACUCCGGGAGUAGCGGUGAAAUGCGUAGAGACCCGGAGGAACACCAGUGGCGAAGGCGGCAUCCUGGCCUGCGACUGACGCUGUGGCGCGAAAGCUAGGGGAGCGAACGGGAUUAGAUACCCCGGUAGUCCUAGCCGUAAACGAUGGACACUAGGUGUACGUGGUAUCGACCCCACGUGUGCCGGCGCUAACGCAGUAAGUGUCCCGCCUGGGGAGUACGAUCGCAAGAUUAAAACUC